Molecule: ribosomal RNA, 253 nt
Filed under: uncultured bacterium
Lineage: Bacteria
Description: partial 16S ribosomal RNA
Rfam family: Bacterial small subunit ribosomal RNA
Source: RNAcentral
UACAUGGGGUGCAAGCGUUAAUCGGAAUUACUGGGCGUAAAGCGUGCGCAGGCGGUUAUGUAAGACAGGUGUGAAAUCCCCGGGCUUAACCUGGGAACUGCAUUUGUGACUGCAUAGCUAGAGUACGGUAGAGGGGGAUGGAAUUCCGCGUGUAGCAGUGAAAUGCGUAGAUAUGCGGAGGAACACCGAUGGCGAAGGCAAUCCCCUGGACCUGUACUGACGCUCAUGCACGAAAGCGUGGGGAGCAAACAGG